GCCGGCUAACGGCCGGGCGGCGCGAGCCGACGGAAAGUGCCACAGAAACAUACCGCCGCCGCGUCCCUCGGGGUGCGGGGGUAAGGGUGAAAUGGUGCGGUAAGAGCGCACCGGCGUCCCGGAGACGGGGCGGCCGGGCAAACCCCACCCGGAGCAAGGCCAAAUAGGGGAGCGUUCGGGGCGUCCGGCUCCGCUCCCGGGUAGGCCGCUGGAGGCGGCGGGCAACCGUCGUCCUAGAUGGAUGGCCGUCGCCGCCCCUGGGGCGGUACAGAAUUCGGCUUACAGGCCCCCUGGCCCC
RNAcentral lists this RNase P RNA (298 nucleotides) under Chloroflexota bacterium. RNAcentral describes it as "Chloroflexi bacterium partial RNase P RNA component class A". It matches the Rfam family "Bacterial RNase P class A", at positions 73 to 367 of the family's 367-position model. From Rfam's summary of the family: Ribonuclease P (RNase P) is a ubiquitous endoribonuclease, found in archaea, bacteria and eukarya as well as chloroplasts and mitochondria. Its best characterised activity is the generation of mature 5'-ends of tRNAs by cleaving the 5'-leader elements of precursor-tRNAs. Lineage: Bacteria; Bacillati; Chloroflexota. The record is from RNAcentral.